GCCGCUUUAGCUCAGUUGGUAGAGCAUCGCAUUCGUAAUGCGGGGGUCACAGGUUCGAGUCCUGUAAGCGGCACCG
Molecule: transfer RNA, 76 nt
Filed under: Sphingobium cupriresistens
Lineage: Bacteria; Pseudomonadati; Pseudomonadota; Alphaproteobacteria; Sphingomonadales; Sphingobiaceae
Also listed under: 1 other name
Description: tRNA-Thr
Rfam family: tRNA
About the family: Transfer RNA (tRNA) molecules are approximately 80 nucleotides in length. Their secondary structure includes four short double-helical elements and three loops (D, anti-codon, and T loops).
Source: RNAcentral